GUCUACUGCCAUGCUACUCUGAACAAGCCUGAUUCUGUCUGAUCUUGGAAGCUAAGCAAGGUUGGGCCUGGUUAGUACUUGGAUGGGAGACCACUAGGAAGACCAGGUGCUAUAGGCA
This 118-nucleotide ribosomal RNA is filed under the name Pteropus alecto (black flying fox). The record is from RNAcentral. Lineage: Eukaryota; Metazoa; Chordata; Mammalia; Chiroptera; Pteropodidae.